GCCGGUCCUCGGUAGUGGUCUCCGGGACCGCCCCCGCACAGGGAGUGCGGGGAGCCCGAGGACUUCGAUCGAAGACCGGC
Actinokineospora bangkokensis is the source of this 80-nucleotide regulatory RNA element. It matches the Rfam family "Actino-pnp RNA". Lineage: Bacteria; Bacillati; Actinomycetota; Actinomycetes; Pseudonocardiales; Pseudonocardiaceae. The record is from Rfam.